CGAAUGCUGACGUGAGUAACGACAAAACGGGUGAAAAACCCGUUCGCCGAAAGACCAAGGGUUCCAGUCCAACGUUAAUCGGGGCUGGGUGAGUCGACCCCUAAGGCGAGGCCGAAAGGCGUAGUCGAUGGGAAAAUGGUUAAUAUUCCAUUACUUCUGUGUAAUGCGAUGAGAGGACGGAGAAGGCUAAAUCAGCCUGGCGUUGGUUGUCCAGGUGAAAGGAUGUAGGCAUGUAUCUUAGGCAAAUCCGGGGUACUCUAUGCUGAGAUCUGAUAGCAAGCUGUACUUGUACAGCGAAGUGGUUGAUGCCAUGCUUCCAGGAAAAGUCUCUAAGCUUC
This 338-nucleotide ribosomal RNA is filed under the name Acinetobacter baumannii. RNAcentral describes it as "partial 23S ribosomal RNA". It matches the Rfam family "Bacterial large subunit ribosomal RNA", at positions 1291 to 1629 of the family's 2925-position model. Lineage: Bacteria; Pseudomonadati; Pseudomonadota; Gammaproteobacteria; Moraxellales; Moraxellaceae. The record is from RNAcentral.